AUUACUUUCUCAAAAAUCGAAGAGAGGGUAAAGGAACAGUACCACUGCUGGAUAAUUGGAAAGUCCCUGUGUGUCAACCUCUGUGCUUCGUGGCAAGGUAGACUAGCAAACAUGCCCAACCUUUACUCACAUUCGAGAAAACACUCCCAACAAGAUUGCUUGCUCCAAAAUCGAAGAGGCACCGCCCUUCGAAUCUCGAGAGCCAGACUCCCAACAUGAUUACUUUCUCAAAAAUCGAAGAGAGGGUAAAGGAACAGUACCACUGUUGGAUAAUUGGAAAGUCCCUGUGUGUCAACCUCUAUGUUUCGUGGCAAGGUAGACUAGCAAACAUGCCCAACCUUUACUCACAUUCGAGAAAACAUUCCCAACAAGAUUGCUUGCUCCAAAAUCGAAGAGGCACCGCCCUCCGAAUCUCGAGAGCCAGACUCCCAACAUGAUUACUUUCU
This 446-nucleotide long non-coding RNA is filed under the name Malus domestica (apple). RNAcentral describes it as "long non-coding RNA (MDOM_LNC011931)". The record is from RNAcentral. Lineage: Eukaryota; Viridiplantae; Streptophyta; Magnoliopsida; Rosales; Rosaceae.